This 497-nucleotide ribosomal RNA is filed under the name uncultured bacterium. RNAcentral describes it as "partial 16S ribosomal RNA". It matches the Rfam family "Bacterial small subunit ribosomal RNA", at positions 28 to 507 of the family's 1533-position model. The record is from RNAcentral.
GAUGAACGCUGGCGGCGUGCCUAAUACAUGCAAGUCGAGCGAACAGAUGAGGAGCUUGCUCCUCUGACGUUAGCGGCGGACGGGUGAGUAACACGUGGAUAACCUACCUAUAAGACUGGGAUAACUUCGGGAAACCGGAGAUAAUACCGGAUAAUAUAUUGAACCGCAUGGUGCAAUAGUGAAAGACGGUUUUGCUGUCACUUAUAGAUGGAUCCGCGCCGCAUUAGCUAGUUGGUAAGGUAACGGCUUACCAAGGCAACGAUGCGUAGCCGACCUGAGAGGGUGAUCGGCCACACUGGAACUGAGACACGGUCCAGACUCCUACGGGAGGCAGCAGUAGGGAAUCUUCCGCAAUGGGCGAAAGCCUGACGGAGCCACGCCGCGUGAGUGAUGAAGGUCUUCGGAUCGUAAAACUCUGUUAUUAGGGAAGAACAAAUGUGUAAGUAACUAUGCACGUCUUGACGGUACCUAAUCAGAAAGCCACGGCUAACUACGUG